CCUACGGGAGGCAGCAGUGGGGGAUAUUGCACAAUGGAGGAAACUCUGAUGCAGCGACGCCGCGUGAGGGAAGACGGUCUUCGGAUUGUAAACCUCUGUCUGUGGGGAAGAAAAUGACGGUACCCAAAGAGGAAGCUCCGGCCAACGACGUGCCAGCAGCCGCGGGAAUACGUAGGGAGCGAGCGUUGUCCGGAAUGACUGGGUGUAAAGGGAGCGUAGGCGGGCGGGAAAGUGGAAUGUUAAAUCUACCGGCUUAACUGGUAGCUGCUUUCAAAACUUCUUGUCUUGAGUGUAGUAGAGGCAGGCUGAAUUCCUAGUGUAGCGGUGAAAUGCGUAGAUAUUAGGCG
This 347-nucleotide ribosomal RNA is filed under the name uncultured bacterium. RNAcentral describes it as "partial 16S ribosomal RNA". It matches the Rfam family "Bacterial small subunit ribosomal RNA", at positions 338 to 703 of the family's 1533-position model. The record is from RNAcentral.